RNAcentral lists this ribosomal RNA (448 nucleotides) under uncultured bacterium. RNAcentral describes it as "bacterial SSU rRNA". It matches the Rfam family "Bacterial small subunit ribosomal RNA", at positions 355 to 825 of the family's 1533-position model. The record is from RNAcentral.
UAGGGAAUUUUCCACAAUGGACGAAAGUCUGAUGGAGCAACGCCGCGUGCAGGAUGAAGGCCUUCGGGUCGUAAACUGCUUUUAUGGGUGAAGAAUAAGACAGUAGCCCAAGAAUAAGGGACGGCUAACUACGUGCCAGCAGCCGCGGUCAUACGUAGGUCCCAAGCGUUAUCCGGAAUUACUGGGCGUAAAGAGUUGUGUAGGUGGUGUACUAAGUUGGUAGUGAAAGCGUGCGGCUCAACCGCAUAUCCAUUGUCAAAACUGGUAGACUAGAGGGCGAGAGAGGUUAUUGGAAUUUCUAGUGUAGGAGUGAAAUCCGUAGAUAUUAGAAGGAACACCGAUGGCGUAGGCAGAUAACUGGCUCGCACCUGACACUCAGACACGAAAGCGUGGGGAGCGAACGGGAUUAGAUACCCAAGUAGUCCCUGAGCGGGCUGGCAAGGCGCAU